Molecule: long non-coding RNA, 2176 nt
Organism: Anguilla rostrata (American eel)
Lineage: Eukaryota; Metazoa; Chordata; Actinopteri; Anguilliformes; Anguillidae
Exons: 4
Source: RefSeq, a predicted model, not a curated record
UUAAAUCCACGGUGAAAAGGAGGUCCAUACCCUAUAUUAUUUAGACUCACCAGAUACUCAUCUACUGUUCUGAAUAUUGGAUGUCCUGUUUCUCUUCCACUGAGGACAAAACACUCCAAUUUGAUUCUUUCUACUGAAAAUUCAUAAUGGCCCAUGACGUAUAAUACUGUCGCAAUGGACGUUCUCUAAUUAACUUUAGCACGGGGAACUCAUGUUACCAGCAAGAACUCCCUGUAGUUAAGGAACAGAGAGCAUGGAAAAAAGGAACACAGGAGCUGAGUAUCGGAGAUUAUCAGAAGCGUUUCGUCUGCGUGGAUUCCCUGUUGAACAGGACAGGCGUACAGCCGUGAGUAUUCGCCUUUCGUAACACGCGACACGGGACUGUCAACACACAAAGAACACUGACAGAGGAGCCGGACGGACGGACGGACGGACAGACGGACUGAACCUGUAUGCAGACGGCGAUGAGCAGGCAGGUCUGCGCCAGGAUGGCGAAGGACUGGUAGUCGGCGAUGUCCUUGCCGUCGUAGCGCACCGUGUCGUACAUGGCGGCGUAGGGGAUGAAGAAGAGCACCAGCGAGCUGUAGCCGCUGUGCAGGGCGCAGCGCACGAACGCCGUCUUGCUGAAGUACAGGUUGAGCUGGCCCGGGGCGUACAGCUGUGGGUACUGGAAGCUCCAGCGGUCGUUCACGUCCUGAGGGAAAGACGCGCGUGUUACACACGUGAAUGUCAAUGGUGCCCUGCAUAAACCUAUAAGCUAAUUCCUAGGAUAAACAAAAACUGAUUCUACUUUCAAUUAACCGAUGCUUUAUUGCGGUUAUAUCGUUUGGGGUUUUGAAUGAACUUUAUUAGUUCUUCAGUUACAGUAUGAAAGUGACUGAAUGAGAACCAAGCUGGAUGAGAACUUUAAACGUGAUAUGAAAAAAGCUAUGUACUUACUGUUCACAUUCACACGACUUAUGUAGACAUACUGUACAUAAUACACACAUACACAACUAACCACGCCUACCACAAAUUCACACAAGUGUAAACAUACCUAUCCAAAUAAAUACAAGUGCACAUGCACAUACACACACUAACACCCACUUAAAUACAGACAAAAACAGACAAGCACUUUGAAUUUAAUGUAUAACUUAUUGUUUUGUCUCUGAUUGAUGAAUGUCAUUCUCUCGGUCCAGCUCUCUUACCUGGUCAAACAGACUCAUACCGAGUACAGGGAGGGCCGUGUAGACCAGGUUAUACAAGGUGAUGAACCAUUCAUCAUAGACCGUCUGCAGGGGAAACCCAACAACCAGAUUUCAAUGAACCAUUCAUUCACCACAUGGUCAAAAAAAGGAACAGACACACUGUGAUGACAUUGGAACUUAACCAUUAACCCCACCUGGUCAGGACAAAGUAACACACCGACCCCAACACUACUGUAGAAUAUGCACUUUAUUGCAUAAGAAAGGAAAUGCAACAUUUAGAAUGGAGAUCAGCGUAAGAACACUGUGAUAACUUUUUAAUUAAUUUAAAAAAAAAUUUAUUUAGUAUGAUUUCAAAUGACAGAGUAGGAUCAUAGCAAGAAAACGUGUGGCCAGGAUAUUUUAUUUACUUAACUUAGAAGAUGGAUAAACAGGGUCUCUCUCUCUCUUUCACCUUUUCAUCUACAAACAGACUGAGAGUCCUGAGAACCUGUCCCCUUACACAACAAACACAGCACCUCCUCAAGGCUGGGCAGCAGGAGAAAAACAGCCAGGCCAGCAGGGGGUGCUAGUGCACAUCCACCACCUUUGCUUCCCUCGUGCUGCAUUAUUUGAUCACUCACCUGUGCGGAGAAGCCGCAGAAGAAGGCGUACCAGAAGUGCACGAAGGUGAAGGUGAAGUUCUUGUAGAAGAAGUAGCGCAGGAACUUGCACAUGCGCAGGUAGGACCAGCGCCCGUGCACCAGCAGGAGGCGCUGCAGGUAGCGGAACUGGGCGAAGGAGUAGUCGCUGGACAGCACCGCCUGCAUGCCCUCCUGCCCGCUGAUGCCCACGCCGAUGUGAGCCGCUGUGGGGAAUGAAAGAGCAGAGAGACCCCUGGGAGGGGAUACCUCUGAUCAUGCUGACGUCGUUGGCGCCAUCCCCGAUGGCCAGCGUCACGGCCUUCUUGUACUUCUUGACCAGCUGCACCACCUGGGCCUUCUGGAGGGGCG